UAAUGUUUCACGGACUUAUGAAGAAGAACGCGUCCUUCCUUCCAGCAGUUCGCCUGGUGCCCGCUCAGGGUCCACAGCACCUGGUCAUACUCGUCGGGCUUUUGGUAUCGCAGUUUGAUCUUCAGGGUGCCGACGUGGGCGCCGGACAUGUGAUACCAGAAAGUCAUGCAGUGGGCAGAGUUCUGCGAGUAAAUCACAGGGCUCAGCAGCCGGGCGACUUUGCCUUUCUGGCUCUCGUCAGCUUGAGAGUAAAUGAAAUUGCCAUCUCCUACUGUGACAGAAGGACUGGGUUAGGAAUAGUGACCAGCUCGCAUUUUCCUUGUUAACCUAAGAAGCCCCAGGUGCUGCCAUGUGGGAGCCCGGAGUUCGGGAUGUGAACUUGUGCCUUAUUCCCGGAAGGAAAUGGUUCCUAACAACACAAUACAGGGAAGUAACGCUGGCACGCUCCGAAGGCAAGCUCCUAGGCCUCUCUCCCGGACAGAAGACGUGGCUCACUGCGGAGUAAAUGAAGGCAGUGCAGGGGGGGGAAAUAAGGAGAGAAAAUGAGGAUAUCUGCAUCUCUGGCAGCAACAGUCAAUCUGUUACUGAAGAAUCCCACCCGUGUCAAAGGGAUUAAACACGACUUGCAAAUAGGACUGACACUGGGGAGGAGGGAGGGAGGUUGCAUUGCAAAGAGGGGUCUUGUGAAUUUGUAAUUAGCCUUUGUUUAAAUGCAAGGAGAUAUUAAAAAAAAAAAAAAUCUAUCAGAAUCCUUCAUUUCAGCAAAACUGGCAAAAAUCAAAGGAUAUUAGACAGAAAAAUUAAAUCGUUUUACUGUAAAACUGCUGCAAUACCCUUUCUUCCUUUCCCUCCCCUUCCAAAAUGUGGGAUCACAGUCCGGCAAGAGUGCUGACUGUGAGAGAAGUGUCCCACAAAGGUAUGCCAGCUGGCCUCGGUGUCUCUAAUUGCCCUGAUAUGCCACAAUCUCAUCCUGAUCAGAAACCAGGGCAUGGCUUGAAAUAAUAUAUGCUGACUAACCAAAAUUUAUGACCCUGGAAACAAAUUCUGAGGUGAGUAAAAGCAUUCACCUCUGCAAUAUCAGAACUCAGAGGCUGGCGAUGGGAACAAUCUCUUGGUAAGUCUAUUGCUUAAUCAGGUCGACACCACCAGUGUCCUUCAGAAAACUUUUGUGUUAGUGCCAUUCUUUUACUUGAAGCAAAAGCGGAUUGUGGCAUAUGGUUGAGGAAGCAAUGAUAAACACUUACCCACCCUGUUAAUAAAUCACUUGCCAGACUGUGCUUGACUGUACUUUAACGGAGGAAAUGGGAGUAACUGAAAACUGACCUCUGUACUGCUCCACAAUUUUUAAUGCAAACCAUUUUAAUUUGGUGCUCAUACCUUUCGGAGUUGGAAUUUUCUGCCCAAAUCCAUCCUCUCCCCCCACCUCCAGUAAAAUAUGCAAGAUAUUAAAAAAAAUGCAAUGAAAGCUGUGGAAACAGAAAACUUGCUAGUUAUUGUAUCAAUUAAGUAAAGAGGACCUGCUGCCAGUGACAACUUGCUUUUCCCUUUUCAGGUUCAUGGUAGCAGUUUAUACAACCCCAUUUUGAGAGUACUUGCUAGAAAACAAUAUUGUAAAACUGCCAGCUCCAUGGUGGAGAAAAUCAGCAAACUUUCCUUGUCUUAGUUUUGUAAAACCAUGGAUAUAAAUAGUGAAAGUGCCUGUGUGGCUCUGUUUAUGUUUUCCUUGAUUCUGCAAACACACUUUGUGUCACUGACAUGACACAUUUAAACAGUGUACUGUGUGAUUAAGUUAGUUUAAUUUUGUCAGCAUUUGGCAUUUGCUGAUGCAGAAGGAAAUCUUGUUCUCUGCUGUGUCUACAUGUGGAUGAAAGGAAUAAAAUAUUUACUGUACAGA
Molecule: long non-coding RNA, 1894 nt
Organism: Rhea pennata
Lineage: Eukaryota; Metazoa; Chordata; Aves; Rheiformes; Rheidae
Exons: 2
Source: RefSeq, a predicted model, not a curated record